This 252-nucleotide ribosomal RNA is filed under the name uncultured prokaryote. Its description in RNAcentral is "partial 16S rRNA". It matches the Rfam family "Archaeal small subunit ribosomal RNA", at positions 475 to 726 of the family's 1478-position model. The record is from RNAcentral.
ACCGGCAGCUCAAGUGGUGGCCAUUUUUAUUGGGCCUAAAGCGUUCGUAGCCGGUUUGAUAAGUCUCUGGUGAAAUCCCGCAGCUUAACUGUGGGACUUGCUGGAGAUAAUAUUAGACUUGAGGUCGGGAGAGGUUAGGGGUACUCCCAGGUUAGGGGUGAAAUCCUAUAAUCCUGGGAGGACCCCCUGUGGCGAAGGUGCUUGCCUGGAACGAUCCUGACGGUGAGUAACGAAAGCCAGGGGCGCGAACCG